UUUUAAUGUCCAACAUUUAUAAUAUGAGGGCUAGUGCUUUCUUGCCAAGUUUAUAAGUUUUCGACUGGCUUGUAAGGUCAAUAGGGAUACUCCUUUUUGUCUAAUUUGGUUUCUGGGAAGACUUCAUUCAGGUCCUCAAUGGUCAUCUGAUCAAAUGGAAUUAUGUUCUUCAUCUUCUCCAGCAUUUUUUCAUAUUCUUCAAUCCUGGCCUUUGAGAGAGACAAAAACUCAGCACAGCGUUUCACAUCUUUUUUUUUCCCUCAGCAUCCACCUGGACAAUGUAUUUAUCCUCUGGCACAGAAACUUUCAACCUUCAAGGCGUUAAACUUCUUAUCAAAGUCAUCUACCAGGCCAGCCUUUGCCACAUUGGCCUUGUAGUAAGCCCAGUCGAUAGCAGGUGGUUUCUCAGGAAGAGUAGCCAACCUGGAGGGACACUGGAGCAAGAUGAUUGGACAAUAAGACUGCAAAUUCUACAUACUGCAAAUGCAAAUGGAUUCCAUGUCUCCUCCACAAGCAUCCACCACUAAUCCUUGAGAGUGACCUUGUCCAGGCCAUCACUCCAGCAGGGCACUCAAUCUGCUCUCGGUUUCACAGUUGGACAGAACAUGGAGAUGCUCAGUUCAUGAAUGGACAGUCUUCAGGGAGGAACUGUUUAGAAAAUGGCCCUGGGCUGAGCAUAGCUUAGAAGUCUGUUCUGCUUAGUUAGGUUGGUCAUGACUUUUAAAAUCUACCUUUUAAAGUGUGCAGGCUAACACUUCUGCCUGCUUAAGUGAUUUAAUGGUUUCCUCAGCUCUGGAGUGGUAUCUGAGACCAGGAAGGACACUGGUCAGCCAGAAUCUGUUGAUCACUUGCCAGAGACAAGGAAAGCAGGUAAGGCUGGGGCAUGAAACUACUGGGUGAUAUUCUUAUAACUUUGUUCUCUGAAUCUCAGUGGGAACCAAAGUGUUUUCCCUUUAUCAGCACCCUGUGACUCAAGGGGGAAGUGAGACAGGAAAGGAGGGGGAGGUUGUUUUGCUUUUCUAGUAAAAUGUCCUGUUCCCAAAGUUCCAAAAAGAAAAUCUUGGAAACUCAUAUUAGUUUAGUGGAUUGGAAUACAUUGUAGAAAAUGAAGUGUAGAGGUGUUAGCAGCACCUUUUCCAGGAAAAAAAUCAAGAAAUUCAUGGCUCUGGGCAGCAACUGGUGGUGGUUUUUAUAAAGAAGUUUAUCUACCCUGCAGUCUGGGAAAACAGUCUCCAGAAGACUGUCCUCACAUCAUUUACCAGCCCCAAGUUCAGGGUCUCUAGGACCAUCACUAAUUUAUAUCAGCUGGUUCCAAAUUUGAGGAUCCCCAAAAACUCCUGCAGAUUUG
Molecule: long non-coding RNA, 1348 nt
Filed under: Vulpes vulpes (red fox)
Lineage: Eukaryota; Metazoa; Chordata; Mammalia; Carnivora; Canidae
Description: lncRNA (ENSVVUG00000022483.1)
Source: RNAcentral